Molecule: ribosomal RNA, 253 nt
Filed under: uncultured bacterium
Lineage: Bacteria
Description: partial 16S ribosomal RNA
Rfam family: Bacterial small subunit ribosomal RNA
Source: RNAcentral
UACGGAGGGUGCGAGCGUUAAUCGGAAUUACUGGGCGUAAAGCGCACGCAGGCGGUUUGCUAAGCUAGAUGUGAAAGCCCCGGGCUCAACCUGGGAUGGUCAUUUAGAACUGGCAGACUAGAGUCUUGGAGAGGGGAGUGGAAUUCCAGGUGUAGCGGUGAAAUGCGUAGAUAUCUGGAGGAACAUCAGUGGCGAAGGCGACUCCCUGGCCAAAGACUGACGCUCAUGUGCGAAAGUGUGGGUAGCGAACAGG